AGGGAUCAUUACAAGAACGCCCGGGCUUCGGCCUGGUUAUUCAUAACCCUUUGUUGUCCGACUCUGUUGCCUCCGGGGCGACCCUGCCUUCGGGCGGGGGCUCCGGGUGGACACUUCAAACUCUUGCGUAACUUUGCAGUCUGAGUAAACUUAAUUAAUAAAUUAAAACUUUUAACAACGGAUCUCUUGGUUCUGGCAUCGAUGAAGAACGCAGCGAAAUGCGAUAAGUAAUGUGAAUUGCAGAAUUCAGUGAAUCAUCGAAUCUUUGAACGCACAUUGCGCCCCCUGGUAUUCCGGGGGGCAUGCCUGUUCGAGCGUCAUUUCACCACUCAAGCCUCGCUUGGUAUUGGGCAACGCGGUCCGCCGCGUGCCUCAAAUCGUCCGGCUGGGUCUUCUGUCCCCUAAGCGUUGUGGAAACUAUUCGCUAAAGGGUGUUCGGGAGGCUACGCCGUAAAACAACCCCAUUUCUAAGGUUGACCUCGGAUCAGGUAGGGAUACCCGCUGAACUUAA
Molecule: non-coding RNA, 511 nt
Filed under: Cladosporium macrocarpum
Lineage: Eukaryota; Fungi; Ascomycota; Dothideomycetes; Cladosporiales; Cladosporiaceae
Also listed under: 6 other names
Description: eukaryotic LSU rRNA
Rfam family: 5.8S ribosomal RNA (bases 167-320)
Source: RNAcentral